RNAcentral lists this ribosomal RNA (459 nucleotides) under uncultured bacterium. RNAcentral's name for it is "partial 16S ribosomal RNA". It matches the Rfam family "Bacterial small subunit ribosomal RNA", at positions 338 to 795 of the family's 1533-position model. The record is from RNAcentral.
CCUACGGGUGGCAGCAGUGAGGAAUAUUGGUCAAUGGCCGGAAGGCUGAACCAGCCACGCCGCGUGCAGGACGAAGGUUCCCAGCAUUGUAAACUUCUUUUGUCAAGGGACAAAAUCAGGCUCGAGAGCCUGACCGAGGGUACUUGAACAAAAAGCAUCGGCUAACUCCGUGCCAGCAGCCGCGGUAAUACGGAGGAUGCGAGCGUUAUCCGGAUUUAUUGGGUUUCAAGGGUGCGUAGGCGUACUGUUAAGUCAGCGGGAAAAGCCCGGGGCUCAACCCCGGCCAGCCGUUGAAACUGGCUGGCUUGAGAUGUCGAGAGGUAUGCGGAAUGCGCAGUGUAGCGGUGAAAGGCUUAGAUAUUGGGAAGAACUCCGAUUGCGAAGGCAGCAUACCGGAGGGGAUCUGACGCUGAGGCACGAAAGCGUGGGUAUCGAACAGGAUUAGAUACCCUUGUAGUC